This 459-nucleotide ribosomal RNA is filed under the name uncultured bacterium. Its description in RNAcentral is "partial 16S ribosomal RNA". It matches the Rfam family "Bacterial small subunit ribosomal RNA", at positions 338 to 795 of the family's 1533-position model. The record is from RNAcentral.
CCUACGGGUGGCAGCAGUGAGGAAUAUUGGUCAAUGGGCGGGAGCCUGAACCAGCCAAGCCGCGUGAGGGAAUAAGGUACAGCGUAUCGUAAACCUCUUUUGUCAGGGAACAAAGGCGGGGACUAGUCCCCGGAUGAAGGUACCUGAAGAAAAAGCACCGGCUAACUCCGUGCCAGCAGCCGCGGUAAUACGUAGGGAGCAAGCGUUGUCCGGAAUUACUGGGUGUAAAGGGAGCGUAGGCGGGAUGGCAAGUAGGGUGUUAAAUCUACCGGCUCAACUGGUAGUCGCACUUAAAACUGCUAUUCUUGAGUGAACUAGAGGCAGGCGGAAUUCCUGGUGUAGCGGUGAAAUGCGUAGAUAUUAGGCGGAACACCAGUGGCGAAGGCGGCCUGCUGGUCUUUUACUGACGCUGAGGCUCGAAAGUGUGGGUAGCGAACAGGAUUAGAUACCCGUGUAGUC